This 253-nucleotide ribosomal RNA is filed under the name uncultured bacterium. RNAcentral's name for it is "partial 16S ribosomal RNA". It matches the Rfam family "Bacterial small subunit ribosomal RNA", at positions 524 to 776 of the family's 1533-position model. The record is from RNAcentral.
UACGGAGGGUGCAAGCGUUAAUCGGAAUUACUGGGCGUAAAGCGCACGCAGGCGGUCUGUCAAGUCGGAUGUGAAAUCCCUGGGCUCAACCUGGGAACUGCAUCCGAAACUGGCAGGCUAGAGUCUUGUAGAGGGGGGUAGAAUUCCAGGUGUAGCGGUGAAAUGCGUAGAGAUCUGGAGGAAUACCGGUGGUGAAGGCGGCCCCCUGGACAAAGACUGACGCUCAGGUGUGAAAGCGUGGGGAGCAAACAGG